This is an RNA transcript of Panicum virgatum (switchgrass), 3371 nucleotides long. RefSeq lists it as uncharacterized. The record is from RefSeq and is a predicted model, not a curated record. The transcript is spliced from 12 exons. NCBI's taxonomy places the organism in Eukaryota, Viridiplantae, Streptophyta, Magnoliopsida, Poales, Poaceae.
CUAACCGCAAAAUCCCCGACGAGCGAGCUGGAGUUUUCCACUAGAAAUGUGCCAACCCCGUCGCCGCCCGCGUCCGUCCUCCUCCCAUUCCGCUUCCGCUUCCCCCAAACCCCCCAGACCUGACGCGUUGGAGCGCCGAUUCGCGGCUCGCGGCUGCUUGAUUCGACCGGGCUCGUCGUCCCCGCCGGUGGUCCACGGGGGAUGGGGUACCUGAGCACCGUGAUCGGCCACCCCACCGAUGGAUCGCCCGUCAGCGGCGGCGGCCUCAGCCAGAAUGGUAAAUUUAGCUAUGGUUAUGCAAGCUCCCCUUGUAAAAGGGCUUCCAUGGAAGACUUCUAUGAAACAAAGAUUGACUGUGUUGAUGGUCAGAUAGUUGGCCUUUUUGGAGUUUUUGACGGUCAUGGCGGUGCUAAAGUAGCAGAGUAUGUUAAAGAAAACCUGUCCAGCCAUCUUCUUAGGCACCCAAAGUUCAUGAGUGAUACCAAAGUCGCUAUAGAUGAUGCUUAUAAAAGCACCGACAGUGAAUUCUUAGAAUCUGACAGUAGUCAAAAUCAAUGUGGUUCGACUGCAUCAACUGCUGUUCUUGUCGGUGAUCGUCUCUUUGUCGCAAAUGUCGGGGACUCUAGGGCUAUCAUAUGCAGGGGUGGAAAUGCUGUUGCUGUUUCAAAAGAUCACAAGCCUGAUCAGACAGAUGAGCGGCAACGUAUUGAAGAUGCUGGAGGUUUUGUGAUGUGGGCAGGAACAUGGCGUGUUGGUGGCGUACUUGCAGUUUCACGCGCAUUUGGUGACAAACUCUUAAAGCAAUAUGUAGUUGUGGAUCCAGAGAUCCGAGAGGAAGUUGUCGAUGAGACACUUGAGUUUCUCAUCCUUGCAAGUGAUGGGCUGUGGGAUGUGGUCUCUAAUGAGGAAGCUGUCGCCCUGACCAGAUCCAUUCAGGACCCGGAAGAAGCUGCAAAGAAGCUCCUGCAAGAGGCCUACAAGAGGGAGAGCAGUGACAACAUAACCUGUGUCGUUUGGAUGUCAGGUCUGACGAUAGUGUUGUAUUGUUCUGUAUGCUGCAAUGUGGAUUGCAGCUGCCCUUCUGUCGCCGCGCUGAGCUGCGAGGUGCUGGGCGCGGCGGCGUUGCGGUCCAUGGAGGCCGGCGAGGUGCUGGCGUCCGACAGUGGUAUUGCCAGCGGCUUGGCGAGGGGGGCUGGGGAGUGGAAGCCAGCUAGUGACCGAUGCUGCCUGUAAUUCUAUAAUGGAUCUCUCGGUGUCUUCUCUUGGUAGGGAGCACCUUGCAGGCUCACCUGUUCUGCCGAGGAUAUUGCAUGUAUUUUGUCAGGUGGGAUCUAUUUGUGAAUUUGUCGAUAGCAGGACAAUCAGACACCUAAAAAAAGACACAGAAGCAAAUAAAAUAUCGUACUUCAUCAUUGACACAGUGGUCCUUCUGGUGAGUUCCUGUAAAGUUGAAAAAAUGCAAAGUAUGCAGCAAGAGCUGGUAAGGAGCACUCUGUCUUUGUUAUAUAAAGUAUGGAAGAAAGUCAAACUCUUGAGAUCAUCAGCUGAUUGCACCAACAGGAAGAAUCAACUUCAAAGUAGAGAAUAUGAAAUAUCUAAAGCUAUUUUUAAUCUUUCAAUUGAUCUUGCUUCUCCAGCCUGCCUAGAGCCUGAUGUGGUCAGGAAAUGUAUUUUUGGCCAAGCAGAGUCCAAGUUCGAAAAUUUUAUCCUGGCCUACUGGGAAAAAUCACCUAAUUUGUACAGGAGGAAACAAAACACUCAAAAUGAUGAUCCUAUCUCUGCAGCCUUGAAUAGUGUUUUUAAUCUUGGUACAGCACCUGAUGCUAUAAUUGAAUCAUUUGUAAAGGGGCUUGUUUCUUGCCCUGCUAUUGCUUCAGAUGAACUUGAUAUAAAUUCAUUUCUCCAUGAAGUUCAUGAUUCCUUGGGUGAUGCCAUAAAGUACAGGCAAGACAUUAGAGUUUUGAGAACAGAAGGCCCAAGUGAUCAAACCUCAAGGGUAUGUGUGAGGGAGGAGCAUUUUUUUGAUGAUGGAACAGUCUUCCUGGAUGAAGAUGCAUUCGCAGAAAAAUGUAAGCAUGCAUUUAAGAAUGGCUAUUCAAUUGCGCUGCGUGGCAUGGAGUUCCGGUCCGAAAAGGUUGCUGCUAUAGCUUCUGCCCUGGCUGAUCUAUUUGGCCAACCUUCUGUAGGAGCUAACAUAUACUUCUCUCCUCCAAGGUCUCAAGGCCUAGCCCGACAUUAUGAUGAUCACUGUGUACUUGUUUGGCAGCUGCUUGGUUGCAAGAAAUGGAUGAUUUGGCCUAAUCCAAAGCCACUUUUGCCUAGACUAUAUGAGCCUUUUGAUCCUCUAGAUUGUACUUUAGAUGAUAACAGUGGAAGAGUGGAGGUGUUACAUGAAGGAGACAUGAUGUACAUUCCUAGAGGUUAUGUCCACGAGGCUCACACUGAUGUUGGUGAAUCUCAAAUGAAUGCAUAUGCUGGUUAUUCACUCAUUUGACGCUUGCUAUUGAGGUUGAGCCACCCUUUGAGUGGGAAGGAUUUGCACAUAUUGCACUUCAUUGUUGGGUGGAGAAGCAGAAGCUUAGAGGGUCUCAAUUUGACAGGUCCAGAGCAAAAGAGGAAACUUCGCUAUUUCCUCUUGUGUUGCAUGUGGCCAUCAGGUUGCUCUCCAACAAUGAUCCUAUUUUCAGGAAGGCAUGCAUAGUUGCAGCAAAGCUUCCAUCUUCCAGUUCCUGCACAACGGCACACUUGAAGGCUCUUAGAAGCAGCCAGAGAUCAACUUUUGAUGAGAUAAUUAGGAGCAUGGAGAAGAACUGCAGCUUCAAGGAAGCAUGGAGAAGCAUCGAGUUGGCAGUGCAAGAAAAUAAUGAUGAACCGUUCCAGUGGAUGAGCUGGCUCCGGCACUUGCCACAAGAAGGAGAUGCAGACUUGAGAAUCGAUUUCUGCAACAUCUUGGAGGCCCUUGAAGAGCCGAUUGGGGCGUUCAGCUCUAACCCUGAGCAAGCCUUGGUUGGCUUCACAGGCUUCAAGUCAAGGUUCUGCAGGUACGUCGUGUACGAGGACGCCUGUGAGAGCUUUGAGACUUUGCUUCAGAUGUAUAGAACAACCAGGAAUCAGUACAUGAGGGGAAUGCUGGCGUUGCACGGGGCAUACGUGAGUUGAGUACUGGAUAAUCCCACUUAAGUCUUGACAGGGAAGUUUUUGGGGGUGGUUAUCUAGUCAUUUUUCCUACUGUCGAGAAAAAAAAACUAACGGGGCACAUGUACGGUUGUAUUGUACCACACUCAAUCAUUUCGCGGACCUUUAGUUGCUGGUCAGAUUAGCAGUUGUUAUUUUCAGCAAAACAAAACAAAAGAUCAGCAGUUGUUUGUCAA